UCGGGUUGUAAAGCACUUUUGUCCGGAAAGAAAACUUCGGGGCUAAUACCUCUGGAGGAUGACGGUACCGGAAGAAUAAGCACCGGCUAACUACGUGCCAGCAGCGCGGUAAUCGUAGGGUGCGAGCGUUAAUCGGAAUUACUGGGCGUAAAGCGUGCGCAGGCGGUCUGUUAAGACAGAUGUGAAAUCCCCGGGCUUAACCUGGGAACUGCAUUUGUGACUGGCAGGCUAGAGUGUGGCAGAGGGGGGUAGAAUUCCACGUGUAGCAGUGAAAUGCGUAGAGAUGUGGAGGAAUACCGAUGGCGAAGGCAGCCCCCUGGGCCAAUACUGACGCUCAUGCACGAAAGCGUGGGGAGCAAACAGGAUUAGAUACCCUGGUAGUCCACGCCCUAAACGAUGUCAACUAGUUGUUGGGGAUUCAUUUCCUUAGUAACGUAGCUAACGCGUGAAGUUGACCGCCUGGGGAGUACGGUCGCAAGAUUAAAACUCAAAGGAAUUGACGGGGACCCGCACAAGCGGUGGAUGAUGUGGAUUAAUUCGAUGCAACGCGAAAAACCUUACCUACCCUUGACAUGGUCGGAACCCUGGUG
This 590-nucleotide ribosomal RNA is filed under the name uncultured Burkholderia sp. RNAcentral describes it as "bacterial SSU rRNA". It matches the Rfam family "Bacterial small subunit ribosomal RNA", at positions 418 to 1003 of the family's 1533-position model. The record is from RNAcentral. Lineage: Bacteria; Pseudomonadati; Pseudomonadota; Betaproteobacteria; Burkholderiales; Burkholderiaceae.